AAAAAGUUUUGGUUUUGAAGAGCUUUGGUUUUCCUGAGCUCAUACAUGCUUUCCUGCCAUUGCCUUUCGACAUCCGUCUCCAGGGCUCCAGUUUCCUCAGCCUCCAGCAGACUUGCACCUGCAGCUCUCCAGUGAGCCUCCAGGUCUUCCACCUUGGACUGGUGCUGACUCCUUGACCCUUCUAGUGGUGUGACUUUCAGCUUCUUGGCCCGAGCAGCUACCGGAUCCCUGGCUGUCCAAUGUCCAGAUGGCCCCUUCUGCCUCUGCUUCUGCAGGGGGCACUGUGGACCCCACUUCUAAUCCUGUGAGCUCUCUAUGUCUUCAUGUUUUUAAUACACAUCUGCAAUAACUCUGUGAAAGAAAGGAAGUUCUCCUACAUUCUCUCAGUAUUAGGACUGCGUCUGAGAGACUUCACAUUGACAUUCGUACUGUGCAAGCAAUGCCUGGAGGGGAAGCAGCCACCCUGGAGCAGGGCAGCUGUGUGACCAUGGACAGGUGGCAAAGCAGGCUGGGGACGGCACUGCUCUCAGGACCUGGGCUCCAGCACUGCGACUCCUUGUCUGAAAGCAAAGCAUCC
RNAcentral lists this long non-coding RNA (577 nucleotides) under Heterocephalus glaber (naked mole-rat). Its description in RNAcentral is "lncRNA (ENSHGLG00000031962.1)". Lineage: Eukaryota; Metazoa; Chordata; Mammalia; Rodentia; Bathyergidae. The record is from RNAcentral.